Long non-coding RNA from Magallana angulata, 591 nucleotides. RefSeq lists it as uncharacterized. The transcript is spliced from 4 exons. The record is from RefSeq and is a predicted model, not a curated record. Lineage: Eukaryota; Metazoa; Mollusca; Bivalvia; Ostreida; Ostreidae.
UAGUGCUAUUAUUCAAACACUUUUUAUUCUUCAAGGUUUCAUGACAUUUGAAACUUUUACCAGUGCAACACCUAGGAUUUGAUGUGUGUGAACUUUGACCAUUUGUUCUGCAGUUUCCAGGAUGAAGGUCAAAUGAAUUUGCUAACAUUUGGCCUCGAGUCUUGAGUCUUUUAGCUCCUACGACCAAGCAUCACACGGAACUGUUGGAAUCGUGCACCUGCUACAAGUACCUUUGAAUGUAUAUUUAUCUUAUAAAGAGGAAGUGGACGACACGAUUUGGAAAUCUGUAACCCUACAACAUUGUGAUGAAACGCACCUUAACCGAUAGUUUAUCAGAGAAGAGCCAGAGCAAGAGCAAACUCGCCCAGUGCUUUCCAGGAUUCUCUACAGUUGGGUUCUAUCUGAUCUUGUGGAAGCAAAAACCCAAAGGAGCCAGUGUCCCGGAGUUCUAUAGUAAAACCGAUUUCACACACCUGAUUUGCCUCCUUUGGUAAACAUAUAUGUAAGGCAACUACAAGUGUUAAAAAGGCAUCGAUCCAAAUUCUGGUAUUGACAAAAGUAUUUGUAAAAGUUAAGUUCAGAAAUUGUACU